RNAcentral lists this long non-coding RNA (3296 nucleotides) under Fragaria vesca (wild strawberry). RNAcentral describes it as "long non-coding RNA (FVES_LNC002136)". Lineage: Eukaryota; Viridiplantae; Streptophyta; Magnoliopsida; Rosales; Rosaceae. The record is from RNAcentral.
AACGAAGCUUAGAAUUAGAUCACAAGUGCAGGAAAAUACCAAGAAAACUUCAUUGAGAGCUGUAGUUUCAACAUAGGUAUGCCAUAAACACUUCACUCCCACCUUAUCUCUGUAAUCUCAUUUUCCUCAUACUAACCUGCUGAAUACAAAAAAGAAACCAGUGAGAGUUUACUUGGUAAUGGGGUCAUCACAGUCUAGCAAUCAUGACAAAGAUGAAAACCUUACAGCAAUUCUCACACUUUUGUUCAUGGUGUUUACUCUGCUCUGGUACUACUGGAUUUGGAAGAAACCGAGCAGAAACCCUACACCUCCAUUGCCACCAGGACCUCGUGGCCUGCCGCUACUCGGAUACCUUCCAUUUCUUGGUGCAGAUCUUCACGUAGAAUUCACAGACAUGGCAAAGGUUUAUGGCCCAAUUUACAAACUCCAACUUGGCACCAAGUUGUGCAUUGUGGUCAGCUCACCUGAGCUAGUGAAACAAGUGGUUCGUGACUAUGACACAACAUUUGCAAACCGUGAUCCUACAAUUGCUGCUCUGAUUGCCUCAAAUGGAGGAACCGACAUCGCGUUUGGAUCCUACGGUCCAUAUUGGAGGAAGCUGCGCAAGAUGUUUGCGAGUCAGAUGCUAAGCAAAACCAAUCUUGAUGAUUGUUAUGCUCUGAGAAAAGAGGAGAUGCACAAGUCGAUCGGUCAGGUUUAUCAUGACAAAAUUGGAACCCCAACUGACUUGGCCCAGUUUGCAUUUUCCACAUCAAUCAACACAACCAUGCGUAUGCUAUGGGGUGCCACUCUACAAGGAGAGAAGGGGGGUGACUUUGGGGAAGAGUAUAGAAAAGUUGCGGCAGAAAUGAUAGACCUACUCGCAAAACCAAACAUCUCGGACUACUUUCCUGCGCUUGCAAGGUUUGACAUACAAGGAAUAGAGAGGCAAGCAAAGAAAGUUCAAUCCAAGAUUGACAAGAUUCUAACUUGUGCCAUAGAAGAAAAGAUGAAGAAGCUGGCCUCAGCUGAGAACAAUAACAGGAAGGACUUUCUGCAGUUCCUCUUGGAGAACACUAACACUCCUGAAGAUGGUUCACUAUCCCUUACGGUGCAACAACUGAAGGGCACGCUCACGGUAUGGUAUCUUAACUUUUGGCUAAUUGUUUGUUUGGAACUUGGAAGUUGUUUUUUUUUUAUCGUAUCAAGUUUCAUAAGUUACGGUUUAUAUCAACUGCAGGAUAUUGUGGUGGGUGGAACUGACACUACGGCAACAGUAGUGGAAUGGGUUCUGGCUGAGCUGAUGCAGCACCCAGAAGAAAUGAUAAAAGUUCAAGAAGAACUAACACAAAUUGUGGGGUUGAACAACUUGGUUGAAGAGUUUCAUUUGCCUGACUUACAUCACUUAGAUGCUGUGAUCAAGGAGACGUUUCGCUUGCACCCUGUACUCCCCCUUUUAGUGCCCCGGUGUCCAACCCAAUCUACCACCAUUGGUGGCUAUUACAUACCAAAAGGUUCCACUGUUUUUCUGAAUGCUUGGGCCAUACAGAGAGAUCCAAGUGUUUGGGAAGCUCCCUUGGAAUUUAGACCCCAGAGAUUCCUAAAUCCUAGCAAUAAGUUUGAUUACUUGGGUAAUAAGUUUCAGUUUCUUCCAUUUGGUUCAGGGAGAAGAAUUUGUCCUGGGAUUUCCUUAGCAGAGAGGAUGCUAAUCUAUGUAUUGGCUUCAUUCUUGCAUUCGUUCGAUUGGAAAUUGCCUAAUGACGAAAAGCUUGACCUCUCAGACAAAUUUGGACUUGUGACAAGGAAGAAGACUCCACUUACUGCUGUACCAACAGCCAGGUUAUCCAAUUUGGAGCUCUAUGCUUAAAAGCAUUCGCCUAAGUGCGAAUUUUAAACAUGCAGCAAGCACUUAUCUUAGCUAUAGGAGUUUCUGCUCCAACUGUUCCCUAAUUCUUAAUUCUACUGUGCUUCUAUAUAUAUGUUGUAACGAAAACAGUGCACCCGGUGCGCCGCUCACCCAUCCAUCUCCGCCGUCCAUUUUGAAAAAGUCAAAAAUCCGCGUCAAAUGGACGGCGGAGAUGGACGAGUGCGCUGAAUAUGCUCUCAUGUUGUAAGAAUAAAUGGAGAAAGUAGGAUAAUAAACAUAUUUUCUGGUUUCUCUAUGCUUGGCUAUAUAUGUUUCUGACUUUCUGCUCCAACCAACUGCAGUACAUAUUCUUAUGUGGUUAAGCAAUUGCAGAAUGGCUACAACUACAGGUAACAUGACUAAAACUAUGAGUGUUCGACCCAGUGAAAAGAAAACUGUUGAGACUGAAAAUAAUCGUUUUUCGACUUCUGAGGUACAAAGCCAUUUCUUUGCGUCUUCUUCAGUAAAUGGUGAGAUGUUACGGUAAAUUAAUGGACUGUUGAUGAGGUUACAGCUUGCCAAACAUCGAUCAUGAGGGUAGCUGCAGCCAUAUAUCUAUCAGAGAAAGUCAUGUCAUCCCUCGGAAGCUAAUUUCAAACUGGAAGAUCAUAGAUCGAUGAAAGCAGAGGAAAUCCAACGCCGUAUAUAACUACAGCGUAGACAAAUCUAGAAUUCUAGAUAGGCCAUAUAUCAUAUAUGGCAUGCCAAUUUGCAAGCUAGUGCAGUUGAUCAUGGAAGCGCAAUGGAUAACGACCAGUAUAUAACGUAGCCUUAACCAUUCUUAUACGCAGCCAAUCCAGCUACAGUGGUGUUUUCACUAGAUGGAAAUCCAUACCUUAUCUCAAUGAUCCCAAUGACCAUAAAGACUUCACUCUCACCUUAUCUCUAAUCUCAUUUUCUUCCCACCAGGAAAAAAGAAAAGCUUAUCUUUCAUUCUUUCAUUUACAACCAGACUAACCUGCUGAAUACAAAAAACAAAACAGUGGGAGUUUACUUAGUAAUGGGGUCAUCACAGUCUAGCAAUCAUGACAAAGAUGAAAACCUUACAGCAAUUCUCACACUUUUGUUCAUGGUGUUUACUCUGCUCUGGUACUUCUGGAUUUGGAAGAAACCGAGCAGAAACCCUUUGCCUCCAUUGCCACCAGGACCUCGUGGUCUGCCGCUACUCGGAUACCUUCCAUUUCUUGGUGCAGAUCUUCACCUAGAAUUUACUGACAUGGCAAGGGUUUAUGGUCCAAUUUACAAACUCAAACUUGGUACCAAGUUGUGCGUUGUGAUCAGCUCACCUGAACUUGUGAAACAAGUGGUUCGUGACCAUGACGCAACAAUUUCCGACCGUGAUCCUUCAAUUGCUGCUGUUAUCUGCUCAUUUGGAGCAUCCGACAUAGCAUUUGGAUCGUAUGGUUCAGAU